UCUCGCCUAUCUCCAUUGAAAGUUUAGCACCACAUCUUGUUACACAAUUGACUAGUAAGUUCUCUUCCUUUUCUUAAUUAAUGUCUUUAGUUACGGUAAUAUUAAAGACCUUUAAAUCCAUAAACUAAUCAUACCUGAAACAUACUCCUAAGUAAGGAUGAAUUCCUGGUCACUAGCUCCAUUCAUUCCAUAAUUUCAAAGGAACUAAUGAUCCUCAUUGUUAUUAACUUAUUAUUCUGUGAGUUGCUUGGUGGUUUUUUNN
This 262-nucleotide long non-coding RNA is filed under the name Solanum tuberosum (potato). RNAcentral's name for it is "long non-coding RNA (STUB_LNC001075)". Lineage: Eukaryota; Viridiplantae; Streptophyta; Magnoliopsida; Solanales; Solanaceae. The record is from RNAcentral.